Molecule: ribosomal RNA, 484 nt
Filed under: uncultured bacterium
Lineage: Bacteria
Description: partial 16S ribosomal RNA
Rfam family: Bacterial small subunit ribosomal RNA
Source: RNAcentral
AUUGAACGCUGGCGGCAGGCCUAACACAUGCAAGUCGAGCGGAUGAAGGGAGCUUGCUCCUGGAUUCAGCGGCGGACGGGUGAGUAAUGCCUAGGAAUCUGCCUGGUAGUGGGGGAUAACGUCCGGAAACGGGCGCUAAUACCGCAUACGUCCUGAGGGAGAAAGUGGGGGAUCUUCGGACCUCACGCUAUCAGAUGAGCUUAGGUCGGAUUAGCUAGUUGGUGGGGUAAAGGCCUACCAAGGCGACUAUCCGUAACUGGUCUGAGAGGAUGAUCAGUCACACUGGAACUGAGACACGGUCCAGACUCCUACGGGAGGCAGCAGUGGGGAAUAUUGGACAAUGGGCGAAAGCCUGAUCCAGCCAUGCCGCGUGUGUGAAGAAGGUCUUCGGAUUGUAAAGCACUUUAAGUUGGGAGGAAGGGCAGUAAGUUAAUACCUUGCUGUUUUGACGUUACCAACAGAAUAAGCACCGGCUAACUUCGUG